AAAUUGGAUUUUCCUAGUAACGGCGAGUGAAGAGGAAAGAGCUCAAAGUUGGAACCUGUUUGGCCUAGCUAAACCGGAUUGUAGACUGUAGAAGUGUUUUCCAGGCAAGCCGAGUAAAUAAGUCCUUUGGAACAGGGCAUCAUAGAGGGUGAGAAUCCCGUCUUUGGCUUGAGCAUUUGCCUUUUGUGAUACGCUUUCAAAGAGUCAGGUUGUUUGGGAAUGCAGCCUAAAUUGGGUGGUAAAUCUCACCUAAAGCUAAAUAUUGGCGAGAAACCGAUAGCGAACAAGUACCGUGAGGGAAAGAUGAAAAGAACUUUGAAAAGAGAGUUAAACAGUAUGUGAAAUUGUUAAAAGGGAACCGUUUGGAGCCAGACUGGCUUGUCUGUAAUCAAUCUAGGCUUCGGCCUGGAUGCACUUGCAGGCUAUGCCUGCCAACGACAAUUUGACUUGAGGGAAAAAACUAAGGGAAAUGUGGCCCACUUGUGGGUGUUAUAGUCCCUUAGAAAAUACCUUGGGUUGGAUUGAGGAACGCAGCGAAUGCUUUUUGGCGAGUUUUCCAGGAAGGUUUUCUGAGGUACUACGGUAUCAAGGUUGAUCUUUUUGGUUAUACUUCUAUUCGCUUAGGUUGUUGGCUUAAUGACUCUAAAAAAACCCGUCUUAAAACAACGGACCAAAA
Molecule: ribosomal RNA, 676 nt
Filed under: Rhizopus delemar
Lineage: Eukaryota; Fungi; Mucoromycota; Mucoromycetes; Mucorales; Rhizopodaceae
Description: partial large subunit ribosomal RNA
Rfam family: Eukaryotic large subunit ribosomal RNA
Source: RNAcentral